AUCAUCCGCUGCGAAGUCGGUCGCACCCCUCAGCGGGGUCAGGGAAUCCGGUCGAAAUCCGGAACUGACGCGCAGCGGUAGGGACGUCCUUGAAGGCACAUGGCCACUGGACCACGGUCUGGGAAGGCUGCCUCCUCGAAAACGUCCGAGUCCGAAGACCUGCCGGCUUUGCGCCAUCUGG
Molecule: non-coding RNA, 181 nt
Filed under: Solirubrobacterales bacterium
Lineage: Bacteria; Bacillati; Actinomycetota; Thermoleophilia; Solirubrobacterales
Source: RNAcentral